This 238-nucleotide ribosomal RNA is filed under the name uncultured bacterium. RNAcentral describes it as "partial 16S ribosomal RNA". It matches the Rfam family "Bacterial small subunit ribosomal RNA", at positions 15 to 244 of the family's 1533-position model. The record is from RNAcentral.
GAUCAUGGCUCAGGAUGAACGCUAGCUACAGGCUUAACACAUGCAAGUCGCGGGGCAGCAUGGUGAUUGCUUGCAAUUACUGAUGGCGACCGGCGCACGGGUGAGUAACGCGUAUCCAACCUACCCUUUACUACGGGAUAACCCGGCGAAAGUCGGACUAAUACCGUAUGUAGUCCAUUGACGGCAUCCGAUAUGGACCAAAGGCUUAGCGGUAAAGGAUGGGGAUGCGUCCGAUUAG